RNAcentral lists this unclassified non-coding RNA (339 nucleotides) under uncultured fungus. RNAcentral describes it as "partial contains 5.8S ribosomal RNA and internal transcribed spacer 2". The stretch from base 1 to 134 matches the Rfam family "5.8S ribosomal RNA", at positions 22 to 154 of the family's 154-position model. Lineage: Eukaryota; Fungi. The record is from RNAcentral.
UGGUUCUGGCAUCGAUGAAGAACGCAGCGAAAUGCGAUAAGUAAUGCGAAUUGCAGAUUUCUAGUGAGUCAUCGAAUUUUUGAACGCAUAUUGCGCCCUUUGGCAUUCCGAAGGGCAUGCCUGUUCGAGCGUCAUUAUCACUUUUCAAGCUUGGGCUUGUUGUUGGAUUUGGUCGCGUGCGUACUGCACGGCGAUGAUCCGAAAGAUAAUGGCGGUGUCGAGUCCGACCCCUUAUACAAUGAGCUUUCGCGGCACGUAUGAGUGGACAGUUGGCCGACCCGGUUCAAACUUUAUUCCAACCACAAAGUUGACCUCGGAUCAGGUAGGGAUACCCGCUGA